RNAcentral lists this unclassified non-coding RNA (508 nucleotides) under uncultured Glomus. RNAcentral's name for it is "SSU rRNA". It matches the Rfam family "Eukaryotic small subunit ribosomal RNA", at positions 569 to 1078 of the family's 1831-position model. Lineage: Eukaryota; Fungi; Glomeromycota; Glomeromycetes; Glomerales; Glomeraceae. The record is from RNAcentral.
AGCAGCCGCGGUAAUUCCAGCUCCAAUAGCGUAUAUUAAAGUUGUUGCAGUUAAAAAGCUCGUAGUUGAAUUUCGGGGUUAGCAGGUCGGUCGUGCCAUCGGUAUGAACUGGUCUCGCUGAUCCCUCCCUCUUGACGAACUGUGAUGCCAUUAAUUUGGUGUCGCAGGGAAUCAGGACUGUUACUUUGAAAAAUUAGAGUGUUUAAAGCAGGCUCACGCUUGAAUACAUUAGCAUGGAAUAAUGAAAUAGGACGUUUGAUCCUAUUUUGUUGGCUUCUAGGAUUGACGUAAUGAUUAAUAGGGAUAGUUGGGGGCAUUAGUAUUCAAUUGUCAGAGGUGAAAUUCUUGGAUUUAUUGAAGACUAACUACUGCGAAAGCAUUUGCCAAGGAUGUUUUCAUUAAUCAAGAACGAAAGUUAAGGGGAUCGAAGACGAUCAGAUACCGUCGUAGUCUUAACCAUAAACUAUGCCGACUAGGGAUCGGAUGAUGUUAAUUUUUAAUGUACUCU